CCUACGGGAGGCUGCAGUGAGGAAUAUUGGUCAAUGGACGCAAGUCUGAACCAGCCAUGCCGCGUGCAGGAUGACGGCCCUAUGAGUUGUAAACUGCUUUUGUACGAGGGUAAACGCCGAUACGUGUACCGGGUUGAAAGUAUCGUACGAAUAAGGAUCCGCUAACUCCGUGCCAGCAGCCGCGGUAAUACGGAGGAUCCGAGCGUUAUCCGGAUUUAUUGGGUUUAAAGGGUGCGCAGGCGGUUUGAUAAGUGAGAGGUGAAAUGGCGGGGCUCAACCCCGACACUGCCUUUAAUACUGUUGGACUAGAGAGCAGUAGCGGUAGGCGGAAUGUAUGGUGUAGCGGUGAAAUGCUUAGAGAUCACACAGAACACCGAUUGCGAAGGCAGCUUACCAACCUACAUCUGACGUUGAGGCACGAAAGCGUGGGUAGCAAACAGGAUUAGAUACCCGGGUAGUC
Molecule: ribosomal RNA, 460 nt
Filed under: uncultured bacterium
Lineage: Bacteria
Description: partial 16S ribosomal RNA
Rfam family: Bacterial small subunit ribosomal RNA
Source: RNAcentral